RNAcentral lists this ribosomal RNA (933 nucleotides) under uncultured bacterium. Its description in RNAcentral is "bacterial SSU rRNA". It matches the Rfam family "Bacterial small subunit ribosomal RNA", at positions 8 to 916 of the family's 1533-position model. The record is from RNAcentral.
AGAGUUUGAUCCUGGCUCAGAACGAACGCUGGCGGCGUGGAUAAGACAUGCAAGUCGAACGAUGACUUGAGAGUAGCAAUAUUUUCAAGUUGCAGUGGCGAAAGGGUGCGUAACACGUGGGCAAUCUGCCGUGAAGUUGGGAAUAACUCGCUGAAAGGUGAGCUAAUGCCGAAUGUGGCUGCGACCAGGCAUCUGGAUGCAGCUAAAGCUGGGACCGCAAGGCCUGGUGCUUCAUGAUGAGCCCGCGGCCUAUCAGCUAGUUGGUGAGGUAACGGCUCACCAAGGCUAAGACGGGUAGCUGGUCUGAGAGGACGACCAGCCACACUGGAACUGAGACACGGUCCAGACACCUACGGGUGGCAGCAGUCGAGAAUCUUUCUCAAUGGGCGCAAGCCUGAAGGAGCGACGCCGCGUGGGGGAUGAAGGGCUUCGGCCUGUAAACCCCUGUCAUUUGCGAACAAGGUCGGCCAUUUAAAAGAUAGCCGGAUUGAUGGUAGCGAAAGAGGAAGGGACGGCUAACUCUGUGCCAGCAGCCGCGGUAAUACAGAGGUCCCAAGCGUUGUUCGGAUUCACUGGGCGUAAAGGGUGCGUAGGUGGUGGGGUAAGUUGGAUGUGAAAGCUCCGAGCUUAACUCGGAAAUGGCAUUCAAAACUACCUUGCUAGAGGGUUGGAAGGGGGACUGGAAUUCUCGGUGUAGCAGUGAAAUGCGUAGAUAUCGAGAGGAACACCAGUGGCGAAGGCGAGUCCCUGGACAACUCCUGACACUGAGGCACGAAAGCUAGGGGAGCAAACAGGAUUAGAUACCCUGGUAGUCCUAGCCGUAAACGGUGCACAUUUGCUGUGAGAGGAUUCGACCCCUUUCGUGCGUAGCAACGCGUUAAAUGUGCCGCCUGGGGAGUACGGUCGCAGAUUAAAACUCAAAGGAAUUGACGG